RNAcentral lists this unclassified non-coding RNA (728 nucleotides) under Hevea brasiliensis (rubber tree). Lineage: Eukaryota; Viridiplantae; Streptophyta; Magnoliopsida; Malpighiales; Euphorbiaceae. The record is from RNAcentral.
UUAGCUUAAUUAUGUGUUGGUGAAUUUUUUUGUUCUAAGUUCGUGUUUGAUGCAUUUAGGUUUUAUACUGUACUAAUGGUCAUGUGGGUUCUGCAGCAAUUGGGGGACUAAUUGAGGAGUUUAUGGUGUUUAAUGAUGGAUGAUAUGGGUAGUUAUCAAUUUUUGGUCAGUAAGAUAACUAGCUCUGUCUUUGAGAUGUGAUCAGCAACGAAGUCUGAAAUAAGCAUGGUGUAAUAUUCUUAUUGUUGCCGCAUUAGCUGAUUUCUUUAUACUUCUGUUCUCAAAUCUGGCAUUGGCUUUGAUGUUCUGAAAUUCUGCAUGCAAUGCUAACGUCUAUAUGAAAUCACAAUCAUGAAUGUCUGAAAUAGAGAACUUACAGAACUCAGCAACAGCUGUAAAUUAUUGUUUCUCAGAUACACCUCUUUGCUUCUUUCUCUUUGAUAAAGGUUAAAACAAUAAGACUGAUAAAAUAGUAUGCUUUUCAUUUAUCAGUAUGCUUUUCUUUCUAAUUCUCAUACAAUCUAUAAAACAAUCAGAGCAAUAAACUUCAUUCUGUUGCAAUUAGACACUUUUAUUCUGGAACCUUGUUCAUGGAAUGGAAAUUUAUAGGAUAUAGGAAUUCAGUUUGUGGAGUGCUAGUAGCACUGUCAUGCAAAUAUGAGCUUCUAAUGAGUAUUGCAGCUAAGGAAAUGCUUUAUUUGCAGGUACAAGCUAGGGUUUUGUCCAAA